GAUGAACGCUAGCGAUAGGCUUAACACAUGCAAGUCGAGGGGCAGCACAAGGUAGCUUGCUAUCUGGGUGGCGACCGGCGCACGGGUGCGUAACGCGUAUGCAACUUUCCCUAUACAGGAGGAUAACCCGUCGAAAGACGGACUAAUACUGCGUAUGCUCACAACUUGGCAUCAAGUGGUGAGGAAAGAAAUUCGGUAUAGGAUAGGCAUGCGUCCCAUUAGCUUGUUGGUGAGGUAACGGCUCACCAAGGCAACGAUGGGUAGGGGAACUGAGAGGUUUAUCCCCCAGACUGGUACUAAGACACGGACCAGACUCGUACGGGAGGCAGCAGUGAGGAAUAUUGGGCAAUGGGCGCGAGCCUGAACCAGCCAAGUCGCGUGAAGGAUGACUGUCUUAUGGAUGGUAAACUUCUUUUAUACGGGAAUAACAAGAGUCACGUGUGACUCCCUGCAUGUACCGUAUGAAUAAGCAUCGGCUAACUCCGUG
RNAcentral lists this ribosomal RNA (487 nucleotides) under uncultured bacterium. RNAcentral's name for it is "partial 16S ribosomal RNA". It matches the Rfam family "Bacterial small subunit ribosomal RNA", at positions 28 to 507 of the family's 1533-position model. The record is from RNAcentral.